CAGCCUGCAACCCGGCUGCACGAAGCCGGAAUCGCUAGUAAUCGCAGAUCAGCAUGCUGCCGGUGAAUACGUUCCCGGGUCUUGUACACACCGCCCGUCACACCAUGGGAGCCGGGAAUGCCCGAAGUCAGCGGCCCAACCGAAAGGGGGGAGCUGCCGAAGGCAGGCCUGGUGACUGGGGUGAAGUCGUAACAAGGUACC
Molecule: ribosomal RNA, 201 nt
Filed under: uncultured bacterium
Lineage: Bacteria
Description: partial 16S ribosomal RNA
Rfam family: Bacterial small subunit ribosomal RNA
Source: RNAcentral